AUUUAAUUUAUUUAUUAUUUUAUUGAAAUGUUUAUUAUAUUAUAAGGGAAGAAUUUAUAUGUUAUUGUUUUUAGUAUAGAUUUAAUUUUUUUUAAUGAUGAAGAAUUAGUACUGUGAAGGGUUAAUUGUUAUAUAUUUGGAAGUUAAUUUUGUUUAUUGUACCUUGUGUAUCAGGGUUUAUUGAAAUUAUAGAUUUAAUUUUUUUUCUCGAUUUUAAAAGAGCUAGUUGAUUAAUGUGGUUAUUGUUAUAUAAGUAUCAUAAAUAUUAUUUGGUAAUGAGAUUUUAUUCGUUUUUAAAGGUAUCUAGUUACUUAAGAAACAAAUUAAAUUUGUUUCUAUUUUUUAAUUAUUAUUAUUGAUGAUAAUGAUUUUAAUUUAGGUUAAUAUUUUGAGGGAUUAUCUUUUAGAUAUAAAUAUAUUAUAAGUUUAUUGUGAGAAAAAUUAAUUAUUUUGGUUUGAUAGUAAUUAUUUUUUAUAGUGUAUUAAAACUUGAUUAAUUAAUAUUUGUGAAUUUGAAGUGUUAAAUAUUAUGUUUAAUUAUUAUAUUAGGUUAAUUUUUAUAAUUUUUUAUAAUUUGGUUUUAUGAUAGAAUUAGUAUAAAUAUAUUGUAUAAUAUGAAUUUAAUUUUGGUAAGUGUAUUUAAGGAAUUAGGCAAUAAUUUUGGAUAUUCGUAUGUUUAACAAAAACAUUUCUUCUUGAAUUAUUUAAGAGGUAUGACCUGCCCACUGAAUAAUAUUGAAGGGCCGCGGUAUUUUGACCGUGCAAAGGUAGCAUAAUCAUUAGUCUUUUAAUUGGAGGCUGGAAUGAAUGGUUGGACGAGAUAUAGACUGUCUUGUAUAUAUUGAUUUAUGAAUUUAACUUUUGAGUUAGAAGGUUCAAAUUUUUUCAUGGGACGAGAAGACCCUAUAGAAUUUGAUGUUUUAAUUAUAUAAACGGGUUAUGAGUGGUCAUUUGAAUCUUAUAAUUAAAUCAUUUUGUUGGGGUAAUGGCGAAAUAAAAGGAACUUUCGUUUAAGUAUUUUAUUUAAUAAUGAUUUUUAUUAUGUAGAUCCAGUAAUAUUGAUUAUAAGAUAAAAUUACCUUAGGGAUAACAGCGUAAUCUUUCUGAAGAGUUCAAAUCGAUAGGAGGGGUUGCGACCUCGAUGUUGGAUUAAGAUAAAUUUUGGGUGUAGAAGCUUAAAUAAUUAGGUCUGUUCGACCUUAAAAAUCUUACAUGAUCUGAGUUCAGAUCGGCGUGAGCCAGGUCGGUUUCUAUCUAUGAUUAAGUUAAAUAUUUUAGUACGAAAGGACCAGAUAUUUAGAAUAAUUUUUGUUGUAGAGUAAAAAUA
This 1327-nucleotide ribosomal RNA is filed under the name Eucorydia linglong. Its description in RNAcentral is "16S ribosomal RNA". The stretch from base 886 to 1260 matches the Rfam family "Bacterial large subunit ribosomal RNA", at positions 2073 to 2647 of the family's 2925-position model. Lineage: Eukaryota; Metazoa; Arthropoda; Insecta; Blattodea; Corydiidae. The record is from RNAcentral.